GACACGGACCGCGGCCGCCUGCGGCUCCGAAGCUCGGGGUCUCCUGGGGCGCGGGGCCGCGGGGCCGAAGACCCCGAUCUGCAGCCUCUGCGAGGCCUCGUCCUUCACUGUACAGAUGCGAAGCUUUCAAGGACACGUCUGCACCGGCCCAGCGGGGUGUCACCCUCACUCGAGUGGUCACCCCAUGCCGCUGAUGACAGGCCCUGCUGUCCGUGGAUUCCACCUGUCCAGUUCCAGAGACUCGUGCUGUUUCUCCCAUGAGGACAAGAACCACAUCUGUAGCUUGGCACUUGGCACCCAGUAGGUUCUCAAUAAACAUUUGUUGAAUGAA
This is a long non-coding RNA of Leptonychotes weddellii (Weddell seal), 331 nucleotides long. RefSeq lists it as uncharacterized. Lineage: Eukaryota; Metazoa; Chordata; Mammalia; Carnivora; Phocidae. The record is from RefSeq and is a predicted model, not a curated record.